This 251-nucleotide ribosomal RNA is filed under the name uncultured bacterium. RNAcentral's name for it is "partial 16S ribosomal RNA". It matches the Rfam family "Bacterial small subunit ribosomal RNA", at positions 526 to 776 of the family's 1533-position model. The record is from RNAcentral.
CGUAGGGUGCGAGCGUUAAUCGGAAUUACUGGGCGUAAAGCGUGCGCAGGCGGUUAUGUAAGACAGGGGGGAAAUCCCCGGGCUUAACCUGGGAACUGCAUUUGUGACUGCAUAGCUAGAGUACGGUAGAGGGGGAUGGAAUUCCGCGUGUAGCAGUGAAAUGCGUAGAUAUGCGGAGGAACACCGAUGGCGAAGGCAAUCCCCUGGACCUGUACUGACGCUCAUGCACGAAAGCGUGGGGAGCAAACAGG